UAACAUUUUCUUUAAUAAUAUUUUGAUCCAACUUAAUCAAUCAUAUUUUCAAUCAUUUUGCAUAAAGUGAAUAAACAUGAAAAAAAACAUUGUAUUUCAAGUCAUUAUGAAAGCUAGAUACUCUCACCUUAUCAACCUCCAAUUUCACUACCAAGCGUACUCGCACCCGCUCCAUUAACAUAACCAAGACACCUAUUAAGAUAAUUCCACCGUUAUUAACAAUUAUGUGACCACUAAACACUUUUUUUAUACUACUUUACAAAUCAGCAUUCUAUAGUCAAAAUCCAUCAAAUCGAACCUAAAAAUCGAAUUCAGAACACUGAAAAACAUAAGAAACGACUAUUCACAUGACCAAAAAUUCAUCCGAUUGACCAAUUUUUAAAUAGGGUGCACGAUAACUUCAUAGGCUUGACCACACUAGAUAGUUUCCAAUUUUGGGCAUCCAUUGCCCCACACAAGCUUCAGCUCUUCCAUUUUCAAACUUGCACAGUCAUAUCGCAUAUUCACACACACACACACACACAUGUAAUACACAAUUCUCACACCCACUUUUAGCUAAAUUCAAUUAUUUCACAAACAUAAUUUUUGUUUAAGCAUAUAAGUCAUAAUAACCAAUUUAAUUCAAAUCAAACUAAUGGUAAGAAUGAAAACUAAUUACUGAAAUUUAACGACUCACCUUCCAAUUUUUGAUUUUUCUUUUCUUUUUUGUUCUUCGCUUCUCAUCUCUCGCUCUCUCUGGCUCGUCUCUGUUUUUCCUUUCU
RNAcentral lists this long non-coding RNA (761 nucleotides) under Actinidia chinensis (golden kiwifruit). RNAcentral's name for it is "long non-coding RNA (ACHI_LNC004361)". Lineage: Eukaryota; Viridiplantae; Streptophyta; Magnoliopsida; Ericales; Actinidiaceae. The record is from RNAcentral.